CACGUAGUUAGCCGGUGCUUAUUCUUCAGGUACCGUCAUUAGCAAAGGAUAUUAGCCUCUACCGUUUCUUCCCUGACAAAAGAGCUUUACAACCCGAAGGCCUUCUUCACUCACGCGGCAUUGCUGGAUCAGGCUUGCGCCCAUUGUCCAAAAUUCCCCACUGCUGCCUCCCGUAGGAGUCUGGACCGUGUCUCAGUUCCAGUGUGGCUGGUCGUCCUCUCAGACCAGCUACUGAUCGUCGCCUUGGUGAGCCUUUACCUCACCAACUAGCUAAUCAGAUAUCGGCCGCUCCAGGAGCACAAGGCCCGAAGGUCCCCUGCUUUCAUCCUUGGAUCGUAUGCGGUAUUAGCGUAACUUUCGCUACGUUAUCCCCCACUCUUGGGUACGUUCCGAUAUAUUACUCACCCGUUCGCCACUCGCCGCCAGGUUGCCCCGCGCUGCCGUUCGACUUGCAUGUGUAAAGCAUGCCGCCAGCGUUCAAUCUGAGCCAGGAUCAAA
Molecule: ribosomal RNA, 498 nt
Filed under: uncultured Massilia sp.
Lineage: Bacteria; Pseudomonadati; Pseudomonadota; Betaproteobacteria; Burkholderiales; Oxalobacteraceae
Description: partial 16S ribosomal RNA
Source: RNAcentral